GAUUAACGCUGGCGGCGUGCCUAACACAUGCCAGUCGAACGAUGAAGACUAUUAUACUUCUUCGCAACGAAAUUAAUCGGAUUAGUGGCGCAUGGGUGAGUAACGCGUGAGUAACCUGCCUUACACAAGCGGAUAGCCGUUUGAAACGCCGAAUAAUAUCCUAUUAAACUAUCACUGCGCAUGAAGCGCUAGUCAAUGUGGUAGCGGUGUAAGAUGGACUUGCGUCUGAUUAGCUAGUUGGUGAGAAAAAAGCCCACCAAGGCAACGAUCAGUAGCCGGCUGGGGAGAGGGUAAGGCAAAAUUGGGAUGAGGACACGGCCCAGACUCCAACGGGAGGAAGAAGUGGGGACAUUUGAACAAGGGGGGAAACCCUGAUGCGGCGAGGCCGGGUGAUUUAGAAGGCCUUCGGGUUGUAAAAAUCUUUUGUACAGGAAGAAAAUGACAGUACUAUACGAAUAAGGUCCGGCUAAUUACGUG
Molecule: ribosomal RNA, 477 nt
Filed under: uncultured bacterium
Lineage: Bacteria
Description: partial 16S ribosomal RNA
Rfam family: Bacterial small subunit ribosomal RNA
Source: RNAcentral